GUAAAAAAUGAGAACUAAUGUCCUGGUGUCAUCUUCAGUCUGCUUUACAUCUAAUAAUAGGCCUGAGUAUGUUUCCAUUGAAGCUGAUGGAAAAAUUGUUUUUGCUUGACAGAAUAUAUGUCUUAAUUACAUCCCUGUUUUAAUGAUAAGUUCUGAAGCAAUUAUCACCUACUUGUAGAAAUCCUGAAAAGGGUGAGACUCUUUGUGUGUUGCUUACUGAAAAAAUGGAUCAACAAAUGCAGGACAGUACUGCAGGCUGCUCGUACUUUCAGCACUGUCAUUUAGUAGGGUGAAUUGGAGGGAAAAGUCAACUCCAGUGUCCCUCAUCAGUUCUCUGUUUUUUGGGGGGAAAGAAUUAAGAGCCUCAACCAGCUGUCUGCUUCUGCUGUGUUCUAAUGUUCAUAUUACAUGGUUGCCACCAACUGGUGUGGUUGUAAUCUCUAUCACCUGUUUUGGCAGAGAUUGUGAAAGAAGCACUGUGUGCCUUCACAGUGUGGUCCAUAGCUCUUCAAGUGUGAUGUGCUGUGAAUAGCAAGGGGUAAGCAUGCUGCAUUUUAACAUCAGUCCAUUACAUCAGAAGCAUGAAACCGCAUACGGAAACCAAAUGGGUACCAAGUUCAGAAUGUGUCUUCCUGUUUUUCUACUGUGUUCUGAAUUGAGCUUAGUGUGUAAACAGACCUUUGUUUUCAUUCCUUUUUCUUAGCACAUGUGCCUAUAUGGCUGUUUUCUCCACUCAGCUACGAGCAGGGAAGAAAGUCUUCUUUCCUUGAACAAUUCUGUAGAUGUGCACUGGAGAACUUCGGCAAGAAAAUCCAGAAGCUGGAUGAGUUUGUUCUACCGUAUGUAAUGCAAAAUCGUGAUGAAAACAUAGUUUGGUAUAAAAGCAAUUUAGAUAACAAUGCAUGAGAUUUGUCAUUGGUUGAAGGCUUAACUUCCAUGUUGAAUGCCUUUCUGAAAAAUGUUUAGUUGUAUGUUUUGGACUUGCAGCAGGAUUUUCUGGGUAAAAUUCUCAUUUUUUGCAGAACGUC
Long non-coding RNA from Gallus gallus (chicken), 1028 nucleotides. Lineage: Eukaryota; Metazoa; Chordata; Aves; Galliformes; Phasianidae. The record is from Ensembl.